RNAcentral lists this ribosomal RNA (373 nucleotides) under uncultured bacterium. RNAcentral describes it as "bacterial SSU rRNA". It matches the Rfam family "Bacterial small subunit ribosomal RNA", at positions 527 to 898 of the family's 1533-position model. The record is from RNAcentral.
GGGGGGAGCAAACGUUGUUCGGAAUCACUGGGCGUAAAGGGCGCGUAGGCGGCCUCGUAAGUGGUGUGUGAAAUGUCCUGGCUCAACCAGGGAAUUGCGCUCCAAACUGCGGGGCUUGAGGGCAGUAGAGGAAGCUGGAAUUCCAGGUGUAGCGGUGAAAUGCGUAGAUAUCUGGAGGAACACCGUUGGCGAAGGCGAGCUUCUGGGCUGUCCCUGACGCUGAAGCGCGAAAGCUGGGGGAGCAAACAGGAUUAGAUACCCUGGUAGUCCCAGCUGUAAACGGUGAACACUAGGUGUGGGAGGUGUCGACCCUUCCCGUGCCGCAGCUAACGCAUUAAGUGUUCCGCCUGGGGAGUACGGUCGCAAGGCUGAA